Non-coding RNA from Myotis davidii, 74 nucleotides. NCBI's taxonomy places the organism in Eukaryota, Metazoa, Chordata, Mammalia, Chiroptera, Vespertilionidae. The record is from Rfam.
AGCAGUUCUCGGUGAUGCACCCCAAAAUCAGGCUCCCGACUCUCUGGUUCUAGGUGUGUCACCUGUGAACUGCA